AACACCUCACCUCUCACCUAAGCACCCCAUACCCAUACCCUCACCCCUACCCCAUGUGACUCCUCCUUUUUUCUUGGCCUCAAAGAAAUACACAAUAUACAUAUACACUGAUGGGGACCCAAAUUGGGAAUAAUUUUCAUAGAUAGAGAAUAUACACACAGAAAUCCUCUCCCAUUCUUGAACAACAACAACACAGCAACACAAAAAUCCACCUUCUUCACUGACCCUCAAAAAGAUUCCACACACCAAUCCUCCAUUGUUUUCAAUUUUUACUCUACAUACACACUGAGAGAUUGUAGUGAGAUACGAAGGGAGAUCCGUGAGAGAGCGAGAUAUGUGAGAGAAAAACAAUAAAGAUCUGAUUUUGAGUGGGAGAGAGGAGAGAAAACCACGAGAGAAGGGGUGUAAAAGAUGGGAGCUGAAAAAUGAGGAGAUCGAGGGUAACAGUUCCGGCGAGCUCAUGCCGAAAACUCGUCGGUAAAUCACCAAAAACCCGAUCCGUCCCUUUUCUGGCAAACGCCCAACAAAAAUCCAUCGGAAACCAUUGGGAAUCCAUCGAACUGACCCAACCAGUCCCAAUUUCGAUGAGAUCUGCCAGAAAAGGAAUGGAGAAACGACGGGUACUGGGGGUCCAAGUAUGGGUAUCUCUUUAUUUCUCGAUUUCAAUUCGAGAUGUCGAAAAUAGAACAAAAAGCGCACAUCGAGAUUGGUUUUUUUGUUGUUGAGGUUUGGUUCGAAGCUUUGAAUACGGUUGUAUUAGAAAGGAUUAUCUCCUGUUGAAAUAAAAUUGAGGUCUGAUUCUUCUAUUCUAUUUCUUCCUAUUUUUAUUUUAAUGUGAUGUUCAUGUUAUGAUUUGCGUGAUUCAUAUGGUUGAUCCAUUUGAUAAGGUGGUUAAACAAUUUCAUUUGUCGUGAUUUGUUGUUGACUUUGUAUGAAAUUUGAUUAAUCAUGUGGGUGGAAAGAAAUUUUGGGAGGCGGAAUUGAAAAGUGAUAAAAAAUGAAUAUUGAUUAUUUUGAUUCGUUGACAAUUUUUAAAUUUGGAAUAAUUAUUGAUGUCGUUAAACACAAUAGUAUCAUGAUAGGUUGAAAUUUGGUAGGCAAACGGUACUUCGGGUAAGCAAAUCCAGGAAUUGUUAAUUGUUGGAUGAUUUGAAAUGAUUGUUGAAUGAUUUGGUUUUCUAGCACUGAAAAAUGUAUUCAUUUAGCCGGGAAAUGCCCCAAGGCUCAUUGUAUUUAUUCACCGAGAAAUACCCUGACGUAUUAUGUUGGCGGAGGAUGUUCGUGAUCAAGACCCUAGGCAUCGGGUAAAGCACGGGAGCGUAGUUCAG
This 1328-nucleotide long non-coding RNA is filed under the name Capsicum annuum. RNAcentral's name for it is "long non-coding RNA (CANN_LNC001926)". The record is from RNAcentral. Lineage: Eukaryota; Viridiplantae; Streptophyta; Magnoliopsida; Solanales; Solanaceae.